CAGCAGCCGCGGUAAUACCGGCGGCCCGAGUGGCGGUCACUAUUAUUGGGCUUAAAGCGUCCGUAGCCGGGUUGGGAAGUCCUCCGGGAAAUCUGGCCGCUUAACGGUCAGAAUGCCGGAGGAUACUCCCAGCCUAGGGAGCGGGAGAGGCCGAGGGGAUUCCCGGAGUAGGGGUGAAAUCCUAUAAUCCCGGGAGGACCACCUGUGGCGAAGGCGCUCGGCUGGAACGCGUCCGACGAUGAGGGACGAAGGCCAGGGGAGCGAACCGGAUUAGAUACCCGGGUAGUCCUGGCGGUAAACGAUGCGGACUAGGUGUCGGGCAAGCUAAGGGCUUGUCCGGUGCCGCAGGGAAGCCGUUAAGUCCGCCGCCUGGGGAGUACGGCCGCAAGGCUGAAACUUAAAGGAAUUGGCGGG
Molecule: ribosomal RNA, 414 nt
Filed under: uncultured microorganism
Description: bacterial SSU rRNA
Rfam family: Archaeal small subunit ribosomal RNA
Source: RNAcentral